AUUGAACGCUGGCGGCAGGCCUAACACAUGCAAGUCGAACGAGUGGCGGACGGGUGAGUAAUGUCUGGGAAACUGCGUGAUGGAGGGGGAUAACUACUGGAAACGGUAGCUAAUACAGCAUACAAUCAGAUGUGCCCAGAGGGGAUUAGCUUGAUGGGGGGGUAACGGCUCACCAGGGCGACGAUCCCUCGCUGGUCUGAGAGGAUGAAGCGCCACACUGGAAUUGAGACACGGUCCAGACGCCUACGGGAGGCAGCAGUGGGGAAUAUUGCACAAUGGGCGCAAGCCUGAUGCAGCCAUGCCGCGUGUAUGAAGAAGGCCUUCGGGUUGUAAAGUACUUUCAGCGGGGAGGCGUUACCCGCAGAAGAAGCACCGGCUAACUCCGUGCCAGCAGCCGCGGUAAUAC
RNAcentral lists this ribosomal RNA (406 nucleotides) under uncultured bacterium. RNAcentral's name for it is "partial 16S ribosomal RNA". It matches the Rfam family "Bacterial small subunit ribosomal RNA", at positions 29 to 526 of the family's 1533-position model. The record is from RNAcentral.